UUUUUUAUGGAGAGUUUGAUCCUGGCUCAGAGUGAACGCUGGCGGCGUGCCUAAUACAUGCAAGUCGAACGAUGAAGCUUC
This 81-nucleotide ribosomal RNA is filed under the name Campylobacter sp. CH165. Its description in RNAcentral is "partial 16S ribosomal RNA". It matches the Rfam family "Bacterial small subunit ribosomal RNA", at positions 1 to 78 of the family's 1533-position model. The record is from RNAcentral. Lineage: Bacteria; Pseudomonadati; Campylobacterota; Epsilonproteobacteria; Campylobacterales; Campylobacteraceae.